This 74-nucleotide transfer RNA is filed under the name Camelus bactrianus (Bactrian camel). It matches the Rfam family "tRNA". From Rfam's summary of the family: Transfer RNA (tRNA) molecules are approximately 80 nucleotides in length. Their secondary structure includes four short double-helical elements and three loops (D, anti-codon, and T loops). Lineage: Eukaryota; Metazoa; Chordata; Mammalia; Artiodactyla; Camelidae. The record is from Rfam by way of RNAcentral. RNAcentral also lists the same sequence under 2 other names.
GAAGGUAUAGCUCAAGUGGUAGGGCACAUGCUUAGCAUGCACAAGGUCCUGGGUUCAAUCCCCAAGUACCUCUU